AGUGAACGCUGGCGGUAGGCCUAACACAUGCAAGUCGAACGGCAGCACCGUAAUCGCUUGCUCUUACGGGUGGCGAGUGGCGGACGGGUGAGGAAUACAUCGGACUCUACUUUUUCGUGGGGGAUAACGUAGGGAAACUUACGCUAAUACCGCAUACGACCUACGGGUGAAAGCAGGGGAUCUUCGGACCUUGCGCGAUUGAAUGAGCCGAUGUCGGAUUAGCUAGUUGGCGGGGUAAAGGCCCACCAUGGCGACGAUCCGUAGCUGGGCUGAGAGGAUGAUGAGGCACACUGGAACUGAGACACGGUCCAGACUCCUACGGGAGGCAGAAGUGGGGAAGAGUGGACAAUGGGGGCAAGCCUGAUCCAGCCAUACCGCGUGGGUGAAGAAGGCCUUCGGGUUGUAAAGCCCUUUUGUUGGGAAAGAAAAGCAGCAGGUUAAUACCCCGCUGUUCUGACGGUACCCAAAGAAUAAGCACCGGCUAACUUCGUG
Molecule: ribosomal RNA, 492 nt
Filed under: uncultured bacterium
Lineage: Bacteria
Description: partial 16S ribosomal RNA
Rfam family: Bacterial small subunit ribosomal RNA
Source: RNAcentral